UCCACACGUGACGCACCAAGUCCAGACAUGUCCAGGCAAAGCGAUAACGUUGUCAAGAUGUGCACAAGGGGCCACAAUCAUUGAAGAAAGUGACAAGACGUGUACACACAUAAAAAUUUUUGCCAGUCAUCUUUAUCUUUUCUCGGAUAUGUCAAAACAACCGAUGAACAAAUUCCUCACAAAUGAAGGAAAUGGCUGAAACUUCCAUUACAACCCAGUGCUUGUGGAGGAAGAGGCAAAACAUAGAUUUAGCAAAUUCACCCUUGAUAUCAGGUAACAAAGCAGCGUCACAGGCACCGGCGCUUCGGGAAAUUUCCCGAAUUUCCGAUAACUCCCUUCGCGCCUGGCCCUGAGGAUCAAUGAAAUUUUAAAGGGGGUCAAUAAUGAUCAAACCGAAUAUGCACAGGCAAUUGUUCGGCAUAAUGAAGAUCCCAUUGAUAAAAAAUAUUGAUGUAAUUGAUAAUUAAAUGUUUAUUGAUAUAAACUUGUAUUAUAUAGUAAGGAAGAAAUUAUAUGAAAUAAAUAGUAGUGAGUUUACGUGCGUGUAGAAAGGAGGAAUGCAUUCAGCUGAUGAGGUUCCGGGAUUAUAUAUUUGAAAAGUCACUCCUAACUUCCAAAAACAUA
Molecule: long non-coding RNA, 624 nt
Organism: Stegodyphus dumicola
Lineage: Eukaryota; Metazoa; Arthropoda; Arachnida; Araneae; Eresidae
Source: RefSeq, a predicted model, not a curated record